ACUUUCCUUGUCAUGGGGUUGCCUGGGAGACUCAAUGAGCGUCUAGUGAGAGUCUCCUUGCUGACACCAUAUCAACACAUACGCGCCACCUGAGCCUCGCGCUCGGACACUGGUGCAAUUUUUGGAAAC
Scomber japonicus (chub mackerel) is the source of this 129-nucleotide small nuclear RNA. RefSeq annotates it as U4atac minor spliceosomal RNA. The record is from RefSeq and is a predicted model, not a curated record. Lineage: Eukaryota; Metazoa; Chordata; Actinopteri; Scombriformes; Scombridae. The transcript has a single exon.